GCAUGCUAGUCGCACGAGUUCAGGCUCGUGGCGAAUAGCUCAGUAACACGUGGCCAAACUACCCUUCGGAGCUCCAUACCCUCGGGAAACUGAGGCUAAUAGAGCAUACCACAAUCCAGCUGGAAUGAGGAUUGUGCCAAACGCUCCGGCGCCGAAGGAUGUGGCUGCGGCCGAUUAGGUAGACGGUGGGGUAACGGCCCACCGUGCCAAUAAUCGGUACGGGUCAUGAGAGUGAGAACCCGGAGACGGAAUCUGAGACAAGAUUCCGGGCCCUACGGGGCGCAGCAGGCGCGAAACCUUUACACUGCACGCCAGUGCGAUAAGGGGAUCCCAAGUGCGCAGGCAUAGAGCCUGCGCUUUUGUACACCGUAGGGAGGUGUACGAAUAAGGGCUGGGCAAGACCGGUGCCAGCCGCCGCGGUAAUACCGGCAGCCCGAGUGAUGGCCGAUCUUAUUGGGCCUAAAGCGUCCGUAGCUGGCCGCACAAGUCCAUCGGAAAAUCCACCCGCCCAACGGGUGGGCGUCCGGUGGAAACUGUGUGGCUUGGGACCGGAAGGCGCGACGGGUACGUCCGGGGUAGGAGUGAAAUCCCGUAAUCCUGGACGGACCGCCGAUGGCGAAAGCACGUCGCGAGGACGGAUCCGACAGUGAGGGACGAAAGCCAGGGUCUCGAACCGGAUUAGAUACCCGGGUAGUCCUGGCCGUAAACAAUGUCUGUUAGGUGUGGCUCCCACUACGAGUGGGUGCUGUGCCGUAGGGAAGCCGCUAAACAGACCGCCUGGGAAGUACGUCCGCAAGGAUGAAACUUAAAGGAAUUGGCGGGGGAGCACUACAACCGGAGGAGCCUGCGGUUUAAUUGGACUCAACGCCGGACAUCUCACCAGCAUCGACUGUAGUAAUGACGAUCAGGUUGAUGACC
This 918-nucleotide ribosomal RNA is filed under the name Halorubrum sp. Its description in RNAcentral is "bacterial SSU rRNA". It matches the Rfam family "Archaeal small subunit ribosomal RNA", at positions 49 to 967 of the family's 1478-position model. The record is from RNAcentral. Lineage: Archaea; Methanobacteriati; Methanobacteriota; Halobacteria; Halobacteriales; Haloferacaceae.